This 253-nucleotide ribosomal RNA is filed under the name uncultured bacterium. RNAcentral describes it as "partial 16S ribosomal RNA". It matches the Rfam family "Bacterial small subunit ribosomal RNA", at positions 524 to 776 of the family's 1533-position model. The record is from RNAcentral.
UACAGAGGUCUCAAGCGUUGUUCGGAUUCAUUGGGCGUAAAGGGUGCGUAGGUGGCGCCAUAAGUCGGGUGUGAAAUCUCGGGGCUUAACUCCGAAACUGCAUUCGAUACUGUGGUGCUUGAGGACUGGAGAGGAGACUGGAAUUCAUGGUGUAGCAGUGAAAUGCGUAGAGAUCAUGAGGAAGACCAGUGGCGAAGGCGGGUCUCUGGACAGUUCCUGACACUGAGGCACGAAGGCCAGGGGAGCAAACGGG